RNAcentral lists this long non-coding RNA (925 nucleotides) under Homo sapiens (human). RNAcentral describes it as "HSALNT0398448". Lineage: Eukaryota; Metazoa; Chordata; Mammalia; Primates; Hominidae. The record is from RNAcentral.
UUUCCUUCAAGCUGGUGAUGGAGUCUUUGGCGCGGACCAAUCCACUGUUGACCCCACUCUGGGGAAGAAUGGGAGACAGGGCUGUCUUGGACCAGCAGAUAGAGGACACAAUGAAACAGAAGAAGCCUGAAUCCUUGACAUGGAGCCACCAUACUCCAUUCCAACCACCUGUGAAGACUUUCAGGGGAACGAUAGCCUCAAUGUCAUAAGCAGCCACCUAUGAAGAGGCCCAUGUAGCAAGGAAUUGAGGCCUCCAGCCAAGGGCAGGUGAGUGCCCCAUUUUGGUAGCACAACCUCUGGCCCCAGUCCAACCUUCAGGUGACUGCAGCCCCAGCCAAAAUCUUGUUUGCAACCUCGUGAGACGCCCUGAGCCAGGCCCACCCAGCUGAGCCCCUCCAAGUUUGUUGUUUGAAGUUUUGGUGUAAUUGGUUUCACAGCAAUAGAAAGCAUUACACAAAGUGUCUUUCUAACCUGAAGACUCAGAAGGUCUUGGGUUUCCUGUGGGUAAUUGUUCUGGAAACCAAGGCAACAGGACCUAGGGCCAACUAAUUUCUCCCAGUUACUAGCCGUAUGACCUCAUGGAGAGGACUUCACCUCUCUGUGCCUCUGCUUCCCUACCUGUGAAAUGGAGAUAUAACUAACAACUACCUUCACAGGGUUCCCAUUGUCCUUCCUCCUACCUGGAAACUGACACUCUCUCAACCAGGGUCUCCAUCACCGCCUGGUUCUCUGUCCCCCUCUUUCCAGUUCUCUGUCCCCACCCAGCCCCUGUGUCUGUUCCUUCUCUCUCUGGGUCUCUAUCCCCCUCCUCUAUUUCUGGUCUUCUGUCUCACCCUGAUUCAGCUCUGUCCCCCAAAUCUCAGAGUCUCUGACUUAUUUUUCCUGAGUCUCUGCCUUUCUACUCUUUAGGUCUCUGUCUUCUUUU